CGGGGGGAGCAAGCGUUGUUCGGAUUUACUGGGCGUAAAGGGCGCGUAGGCGGCCAGCGCAAGUCAGUUGUGAAAUCUCCGGGCUUAACUCGGAAAGGUCAACUGAUACUGCGCGGCUAGAGUGCGGAAGGGGCAACUGGAAUUCUCGGUGUAGCGGUGAAAUGCGUAGAUAUCGAGAGGAACACCUGCGGCGAAGGCGGGUUGCUGGGCCGACACUGACGCUGAUGCGCGAAAGCCAGGGGAGCGAACGGGAUUAGAUACCCCGGUAGUCCUGGCCUUAAACGAUGGAUGCUUGGUGUCUGGAGUUUUAUAGUCUCCGGGUGCCGCAGCUAACGCGUUAAGCAUCCCGCCUGGGGAGUACGGUCGCAAGACUG
Molecule: ribosomal RNA, 374 nt
Filed under: uncultured organism
Description: bacterial SSU rRNA
Rfam family: Bacterial small subunit ribosomal RNA
Source: RNAcentral